CCGUUGUCUAGUUCUGAAAAGCUAUCUCUUACAGAAGGGAAGCCCUUGAGCCAAGAUGACAGCACAAAAUACAGAAGUCUAGUAGGUGCACUUCAAUAUUUAACACUUACAAGGCCUGAUAUCUCAUUUGCUGUCAAUAAAGUUUGCCAAUUCCUCCAUGCACCCACUACAGUUCAUUGGACUGCUGCAAAGCGCAUAGUCAGAUAUGUCAAAAACACUCUUAAUAUUGGUCUCAAUCUCAGCAAAUCUUCAUCUACACUUGUGAGUGCCUUUUCAGAUUCUGAUUGGGCAGGAUGCCUAGAUGACAGGCGCUCCAUUGGUGGUUUUGCAGUUUUCUUUGGCCCUAACUUGAUUUCAUGGUGUGCAAGAAAACAGGCCACAGUCUCCACAUCAAGUACAGAGGAAGAAUACAAAGCAUUAGCUAAUGCUACAGCUGAGAUUAUAUGGGUGCAGUCUAUGCUAAAGGAGCUCGGUGUGAAAAGUGCCAAGGCUCCCUGUUUGUGGUGGGAUAACUUGGGCGCCACAUAUUUGUCUGCU
Molecule: ribosomal RNA, 537 nt
Filed under: Triticum aestivum (bread wheat)
Lineage: Eukaryota; Viridiplantae; Streptophyta; Magnoliopsida; Poales; Poaceae
Description: partial small subunit ribosomal RNA
Source: RNAcentral